UUAAAAAUAAUUUCUGUAUUAAUUUAUUUCAAUGGUUUAAAAUUAAAAAUUGUAUUUCUUCGGAAGGCCAACCAAAUAUACAGUGCAAAUGGUUCCUUAUAAUUUAUAUUUGUAUACAGUAAAAUAUAUGAUACAUUAGUUAAGUAUAGAUAGACGAUACCGUAAAGACGCGACCUACCGUUACGUAGGAUCCGAAUUCGAGCCCAGUUCGGAUGAUAUCAAUCAUGAAAAUUUUUGAGGCUUGGGGUAUCAAACCGGACCCGGAUGCCUCCAUUAAUUGUGGGCAUGAUCGAAUCCCCGAUGAACCAUCGUUGAUUCGAUCAUGCCAAGAACUUUACAAGUUGUUAUUUAUCGAUUGAAUCGAUAAAAUGGGCGAAAUUGAAAGCGAUAAUGUAGAUUAUCAUAUAAAAAAACUUGCAAUAAAUGCUCAAACUACAAUGACAAGAUCACUAACACUAGAAUUUAAUCUCUUCUAAAUCUUUAUGGCAUAUUUAUCCAAUUAACAAGAAGCUCCGCUCCUAUAAAGUUACUCUGCGUAUUAUCACGCAGAUGAACUUUAUAAUUACAAAUAAUUUCGUAAUUAUAAUAAAUAUAGAAAUAAUAAUCUUCUUAUCUUUGCCAAAAAUCCAAGAAUCUUCUCUACUUACGAAUAAUUAAUUUAUAAUUUUUAUAUCUCUCUCAUUUGAUUGGAAUUUUAUGAUUUAUGCAGUAAUUCGAUUAGAAGAAAGGUUUUCGUUGUGAUUAUUUUUGCAUUUUGAAAUUUCUAUCAAAAAUCAAUUCAUAAUUAUUUGUACUCGUAUUAUCACAUAAUUUUAAAGUUGACUUUUUUUUAGGUUAUUUAGAAUUAAAUAUCAAGAAAUUUUCUUUGAAAAAAAUGAUUUUUUAUACUAAUAAUAAUUCGAUAUUAUAGAUUAGAGCGUUUCUAGAGAAUUUUCGUCCACGAAAUGCGAAGGAAAUCGAAAAGGAAGGAAACGAAUGGACGGAUUUUAACGGAAACUGGUAAUAAAAUUGGUCUAUUUCUCGAACGGAAAUUAAUUACGUGCGCCAUCAGAAAGAAAAGGAGACGCGAAAUCCAAGUUUUAAGUUUAAACUCACUCAUCAAUGUCUCAGUUCGAAUUGCUUUCAGUUUCGGGCAUAAUGGUGCACCCACCUUUCGGUUGAAAACAGCAGUAUGCACCUGCAUUCUUGUUACUCAGUGGCCAGAACCAGUGAAUGGCUUAAAUGUGCAGGUGCACAACUCUAUAUCAACUGAACAUCCAUACUAAGAAUAACAUUGAUACAGUGAAGAACCUAAAGCCAUCAAAUUAUAUAGUAGUAGUUUAUUUGACAUAUAAUUCAAUACAAUAUCAAAGGGGGGAGCCAUCAAAUUAUGUAAGCAGCAGUAAAUCAGACCAAGUACUGUAUUUCCAGUUCCUACUGUAAGAUGGGCUAGAGGUUGAAUUGUCAGCAUUACUGGAAACAUAUGGCGAUCACAGAAUAUUAAGGAGAUGGUGGAAAAGCUCUCAUAAGCUUUGUGAGAGUUACAAAUUCCAACAACAACACUGCAUUGAAUUGUACACCAUUGAUAUCACAGCUAGUAUGAAAGAAGACAUGUACUGGUACAUGACAGGAGAUUGCCUAUCAUCUUGAUGUUGUCACUGUGACUGCUGGAAUGCACAUUUGAAGGUUAAGUUGAGUGCUACUAAAAGCCAAGAUAGGUGGAUCCUGCUAAUUCAAUGAACAGAACACCUGACAUGUGAUAUAUGAUAUGGCAGUUCAUCAGGAAUUUAUACAUAGUGAUCAAACAGGCAGUAAUUUAUAAAAAGAAGUUUUGAUUGAAUUUGACUCAAAGAUAGUUAAAAGAAUUCUUCUCAAGUUGCUUAAAAAUAAUUGGUGGUUUCUUUAUCAUGAUAAGAUUCAUUCACACACCAUUGUCUUCAUUCAAAAAUUUUUGCUUAGGAAAAAAAAUGUUCAGCAAUAAUAAUAUCCUCUAUAUUCACCUGAUGACACUCCAUUCAUCCAUAAUAAUGUGAAAUCAAAACUCAAUAUCCUCACAGUUGCAAGUUUCCAGCAUUACUUCUGAAAGUAGCAGGAACAUUAAAACACUUGCAUAUUUUAUAAGAAGAUACUUAAAGAAAAAACAUUCCUAGAAAUGUUGUUAGUAUAAGCUUUUUGAUUUUUGAAUAAAAGUUAUCCUAGACCUUUUUGAUCAGCCCUCCAUAAUAAAUCUUGCAAUUAUAUACACAAUAUAUAUAUAAUCCUGUGGAAAUUGCAAGAUUUAUAUUGAAUGUAUAUAUAUUUUCCACAGAUCAAGACUGUGUUAUAUUCCUUAUAGUUGUCAGCCUUUUUUCUUAAAGUCUCCUUCUAAAUUUCUAUCAACUCAAGAUAUCUGAGUGUGUUCUAUCCACUGUUUAGUAUAGAAUUUUGAUCUGGUCAAAUGAACUGUUUCAUCAAUGUUUUGAAGCAUGCCAGUUCUUCUCAGUGAUGACAUUAAAAAAUAAAUUUUGGAAAGAAAAAUUUGAUAUUCUUAAAGCUAUCUGGCUCAUUCAAAAGGCAUGGUCAUAAGUCACUCAACCUUAGUUAAAUUCUGCUUUGGGAAAGCUGUGUUCUUCCUGCAUUCAAGGAGAUGGAGAUGAUGUCCCUGAAAUUUUGAAUGAAAUUGUGACAACUGCUAGAUAUCUUGAAUUGGAGAUGAAUGAAGAUGACAUUGAAGAGCUCAUAAUGGAACAUGAAACUGAUCUGAUGACAGAACUCCAAGAAUUCUUGAAUGAAGAAUACCAAGAAACUCAGUGAGAUGUGUUUUCUUCCAAAAAAGAGUAAGACAAAAGAGGACCAAUAUUGACAUCUGCUAUUAAAGAUCUUUUGAAGACGUGGGAGGAUGUCAGAACAAUGAUUUUAGAAUGGCAUCCAAACCAAGUUGAGGUUAAUAGGCUUGGGUAUCUCUACAAUGACAAUGCUAUUAAUUUCUUCUGAAAAAUCCUGAAGAAAAGAGAAAAGCAAUUGACAUUGAACAGAUUCUUUAAUGUCCCACAAAUGGAAAAACAACUUGACUGAUGAAAAUGUAAAACUGUGUAGGAUCUCCAGAACGAAUUAAUCAAAUUCCCAUAAAAAUCCCAUAAAUUGAUAAUCAGUUAACGAACAAUUCAGAUAGUGCACAUGGUCUUUGAAUGGAUCACAUUCGUUAACAGAUCACCCACUGUAGUAUGGUGUUUAAUUUGGCUGUGCACUGCUUUAUCAGAUUUCUUGAUUUUAAAUUUUAUUUAGACAAAUAAAUAAAUAAUUG
RNAcentral lists this long non-coding RNA (3262 nucleotides) under Centruroides sculpturatus (bark scorpion). RNAcentral describes it as "uncharacterized LOC111631220, transcript variant X2". The record is from RNAcentral. Lineage: Eukaryota; Metazoa; Arthropoda; Arachnida; Scorpiones; Buthidae.